AGUUCGGUCCGGGCAAUCGCUCACUUUAAAGUUUUAUGGUGGGAGGAAAGUCCGAGCUUCAUAGAACAGGGUGCCGGGUAACACCCGGAGUCUCGCUUAGCGGGAUAUUGACAGUGCCACAGAAAAUAAACUUCCCCGUGAGAUUUUCAUUUCACGGUUUAUUGAGAUUUUUUUAGAGUUUAUCUCACGGGGUAAAGGUGAAAAGGUGGGGUAAGAGCCCACCGCUACAUUGGUAACAAUGCAGGCAUGGUAAACCACACCCGAAGCAAGAUCAAAUAGGGAAACCGUUUUCCGGUUUACCGGAAAUCAGGGUUGUUCGCUCUGGAGGUUUCCGGGUAGAUCGCUGGAUUCCAUCAGUAAUGGUGGAACAAGAUAAAUGAUUGCCAUCCUGUGGGAUGUUGCUGCAAAGCGGAUAUCUCAUGAGAUACAGAACUCGGCUUACAGGACUGGACUUUUU
This 457-nucleotide RNase P RNA is filed under the name Ignavibacteriaceae bacterium. Its description in RNAcentral is "RNase P RNA component class A". It matches the Rfam family "Bacterial RNase P class A". Rfam says of the family: Ribonuclease P (RNase P) is a ubiquitous endoribonuclease, found in archaea, bacteria and eukarya as well as chloroplasts and mitochondria. Its best characterised activity is the generation of mature 5'-ends of tRNAs by cleaving the 5'-leader elements of precursor-tRNAs. The record is from RNAcentral. Lineage: Bacteria; Pseudomonadati; Ignavibacteriota; Ignavibacteria; Ignavibacteriales; Ignavibacteriaceae.